GGUUGCGAUCAUACCAUCACUAAUGCACCGGAUCCCAUCAGAACUCCGCAGUUAAGCGUGCUUGGGCGAGAGUAGUAUUAGGAUGGGUGACCCCCUGGGAAGUCCUCGUGUUGCAACCCC
RNAcentral lists this ribosomal RNA (120 nucleotides) under Helianthus annuus (common sunflower). Lineage: Eukaryota; Viridiplantae; Streptophyta; Magnoliopsida; Asterales; Asteraceae. The record is from RNAcentral.